Molecule: small nuclear RNA, 189 nt
Organism: Sorex fumeus (smoky shrew)
Lineage: Eukaryota; Metazoa; Chordata; Mammalia; Eulipotyphla; Soricidae
Product: U2 spliceosomal RNA
Exons: 1
Source: RefSeq, a predicted model, not a curated record
AUUACUUCUUGGCCUUUUGGCUAUAAGAGAGUGUAGUCUCUGUUUUUAACAGUUUAAUAUGUUUCAUCCUCUAUCUGGUGGCAAUUUAUGAAACGGAUUUUUGAUGUAGGGAGAUGAAAUAGGAGCUUUCUUUGCACACUACAUGCAUCCAUCUAGCAUUGCAGUAUCUCCAGGAAAAAUACACCCUCU